GAUGAACGUUGGCGGCGUGCCUAAUACAUGCAAGUCGAACGAAGACUGUAGUAAUACUGUCUUAGUGGCGAACGGGUGAGUAACGCGUGGGUGACCUGCCCCGAAGUGUGGGAUAACAGUCCGAAAGGAUUGCUAAUACUGCAUAAUAUCCAAGAGAUUAGAUGCUUUUUGGAUUAAAAGGAGUAAUUCGCUUCGGGAGGGGCCCGCGUCCCAUCAGCUAGUUGGUAAGGUAAUGGCUUACCAAGGCGAUGACGGGUAGGGGACCUGAGAGGGUGGCCCCCCACAAUGGAACUGAAACACGGUCCAUACACCUACGGGUGGCAGCAGUAGGGAAUAUUAGUAAUGGGCGAAAGCCUGAACUAGCAACGCCGCGUGUGCGAAGAAGGCCUUCGGGUCGUAAAGCACUUUUUGAGAGGAUGAGGAAGGACGGUACUCUCAGAUAAGUCUCGGCUAACUACGUG
This 461-nucleotide ribosomal RNA is filed under the name uncultured bacterium. Its description in RNAcentral is "bacterial SSU rRNA". It matches the Rfam family "Bacterial small subunit ribosomal RNA", at positions 28 to 507 of the family's 1533-position model. The record is from RNAcentral.